UACACGUUGAAAACACACAUCUAGGGAUCCUACCCAUUCAGACGCGGUCUCUCUCCCCUGCCCCGUGGAAGGCAAGGCGAGGCGGCCAGCAGGUUGUUCUCGGAACUGGGGAGCCCAGUGCCUGUCCUUUUCCCGAAACAAAACAGUCGUGGGUGUGGCUACAAGCAGUGGAACUUUCUAGGCUUCAUGCAGGGUUGACAGCCUUGGUUGUCCUUCCUUGUGCCCGUGGCUGCAUUUGCACUCCACAUUCUUUCUAAGGAAGCCCCAGGGAGCGCCGGUGUUCUGUCGUCCCAACGGGCCCUUUCCCAUACUCUCAACGCUCAUGGAGAUCCAUUCCGGACUUUUGGAGAUGGGAGUCUGGGUUGUGCUGGAGGCCUUAUUGGGGAGCCCGGGACUCGCUGGAAACCGCAGGGGCCGGGGUGCUUGGCAGUGAGGCUGUUUCGUAUUAAGCUGCCAACACCUCCCUAAACUGAAAGCUGGAGGGUCAGAGUCCUGGGCAGCGGGGAGCAUGGGACAAAGGCUCGGAGGCUGGGGUCCUGGGCACCUGGGCGGUGUAGUGGCCGCAGAAUGGUCUCAAAAGAGAGGUUGGCUGUGCUUAUGGUCAAACACAAGCCCGGUGCGUUUCCCUCUCUGGCUCACACGGCCACGUGGGCUGUGCUGAAGUCACACGCCACACACCUGCGGCGGCUGCCCAGUGAGAGGGAACUGCACGGCCCCCAGCCAAGCUGCAGUGCCUUGCUCAGGGAAGGCCAUGUCUGUGUUAGAAUUCUCCAGAGAAUCAGAACCGGUUGAACAUGUGCGUAUAUGGAGAGAUCAGUAGGAUCUAUCUAUCUAUCUAUCUAUCUAUCUAUCUAUCUAUCUAUCAAUCAAUCAUCUAACUAUAGAGCGUGUAGAGGGAGAGAUUUAAUGCAAGGGACUGGCUUACGUGAUCAUGGAGGCUGGACGGUCUCGAGACCUGCAGUUGCAAGCUGGGGACCCCAGGAGAGCCCGCGUUUCCGUCUGAGUCUGAGGGCCGGGGAAGACGGAGGCUCCAGCUCCAGCAGUCGGCCAGCCAGGCGUGCUUUCCUCAGUGCACCAAUUCCGACGUCGCUCCUCCCCAGAAACUCCCGCUCAGGCACGUCCGGAAUAGCGUUUGGCCAGAUACCUGGGUGUCCUGAGGACCAGUCAUGGUGACGUAUAUAAUCGAUCAUCACAAUGUCCCACAGUUCUCAUCCUGGGAGAGGCUGGGGUCCUGCCUGAAACAAGGGCAGCCUCGUUGUGGGUUGACUGGUGACCCGCAAGGGACCAGGGGAUAAAAGCCCUAGAAAGAGACCACAACAUUGAGCAAGGAUGGUCGUGUUCUCGCUCCUGGAGGCAGGGGUGGAGUCGGCUGGAUGGUACAGGACGAGAAAAAAGGUACAGGAGGAGGCACCUGCAGUGAGGCAGAAGCCAAGAGAUACAGGGGAUCAGCCAAUGGCGUAGUAGAGACCCCAGAAUACCUGAUGUUAGUGGGGCAACACGACAACAUAGAGUCCGGGGACCCAGGGCUAUGUCUGAACAAGCCUCAAGUCCACCCUAUGUGGGGCCAGUAGAACAGCAGACCCCUAUACACCUCAUGACUGGGGGCCUCUUUAAGUGCAUCAUGAAACCCCAGUUCUUAAAGUGGCAUGAAUGAGUCUGAGUCUAUUCCUUAUCAAAUGAGAGGAACCAAUUUAUCCACCACCCAUGACAAUCUAAUGCCAACGACGUUGUCCCACUGUGCUCUCCUGCGGCAGAAAGGGCAGGAGGCCCCCUCAGUUGUCUUUUAGGAGGACACUGAUCCCAUUCGUGAGUGCAGAGCCCUCAAGAUCAAAUCGCCUCCCAAAGCGCCCACCUUGUAAUACUAUCACACUGGGGACUGGGCUCCACAUAUGAAUUCUGGGCAACAGCAACAGAUUGCAGAGCACAGCAAUCUGCAAACGCUCUUCUAAGGCGAUCCUUACCUUUACCACGUGUAUUCCUACAGGGUAUCCUGAGCAGAACUACACCAGAUAGCAUGGUAAAAAACAUUUUUUUAAGGCUGUUAAGGGAUGCAUCUUAAUGUAGCAAUAUAUUUAGCCCAGUAGGGCUAUUCAUUUCAAAUCACAGAGCCAGUCCAAGCUCCAUCACUUCUGGAUGGGGCCAGACUGAGGAGUGGUGACUAUGUGAUGAGUCAAUGUCUUAGUUCAUGUGGUCUUGCUACCCAGGAGGUGAGAUUAAGCUGUCCUUUUAGACCUCAUUUAAAACAUUCUCUAUGACUUCCUUUUGGUGUUUUUAAUAUUCUAUCUUGCACAGCAGUUACAUCUUGAAUUUAAAAUCCCCCCUCUUUGAGCAUUUGUAAGCUAAUGUAGAGGUUCUAAUAUGUGGCAAAUUAUAAUUUUUCUGAUGCCCAAGACUUGGACACUGCAGGGUGGACCCCAGGGGUGGGUUCCUGCCUCUACCCGGACUCUGGCCUCACUGUGGCUUCAUCAUCUCAUGCUCGGCCCUGACCUCCUUCCUCCCAUGGCAAGAGCCUGUGGAAGACCGGUUAAGACGACUCAGGAGGUGGCUGUCCCCAGCCAUGCGGUGGCCCGUGCAGUGACAGACGCAGACCAUUCCCCCGUCCUGCACAGGGACCCAGGGGCACCUGCGUUGUCACCUUCAGCCCGGUCCACGACCUCAGGCUCCCUGUGGAAGCAGAGAUCAGGCGUGAGCUGCUAUGGGCACCCACGGGAGGUGCCACCAUGCACAGAACCUCCCGGGCCAGCACGCACCGUGUCAGACCCAGGGAGUGAGCGCCCAGCCAUGUUUCACAGUUCACUUUUAGAAGAAGAAAUAUUUACCUAGACUUGAAGAUGGCCUCCAACACAGUGUGUCAACUAUCAUUGUUGGUGAGAUCACUGGUUACGGCUCAUAGUGGCAGACAAUAGAAUGCAUUCCAGUUACUAGCAGAAGAAAGUGAUCUAUCAGCUGGUCUGAUGGAUCUUACAGAACCUCAGUGAGAGUCCGAGAGUAGGAUUUGAUUGAUACACAGUUGGAAACAAUGGCAAUCAAGGGAAAUGCCCAACCAUAUGUGGAACUUCUCUAGUGGAAACACCAGUGUUGCCAUCACCUUCUGCUCAGUACCUAAGAUUCUGGGACCCAGAGUCUCCAAACUGCCAGAACUGUUCCAGGAGAGCCAACAUGCCUAUUGCUUGGGAAGACCUCCAACUUCCCUGAGCAUGAGCAGGGCCACUGCCUCCCAUUGCUCAUGUCCUCCUACUCUCACCUGGACAUCUGCCUAGCAGAAUCUAAUCCACAUCCAAAAUCCUGGCUCUGGUAAGUGGGGUUUAUAGUUUCCGUGAGUCUGUGGUACUGGAAGGAUCACUAACAGGAAGUGGGAAUGGCAGUUGAGUGAGCUGCUGGAAAAUCUGCUGCACUAAACAAGUUUAGUGAUGGAUGGAACACCUUGGCCCACGAUCCCAGGUCUAGAUGGCCUUCAUCCAUGGUGGUUUUGCUGUACAGGAGUGGGUCUUCCUUCACACCACUGAUUUCUUAGGACCCUGUACCAAUGAAGGAUAUUUUAAAGAUCACAAUUCAUUCUUGAACUAACUCUAGGGCUCCUUAUACCUUCAUCUUCCCUCACCAGAAUUUAUUUUCUCAAAUGAAAUGUGUCAUCAACAAUCUCUCCCCAAACACUUCACACCGCAACUUCCGACAUUCACUAGUUUUUUGAGAGUUUUGGUCUCUGGGUGGAAUUACAAGUAUGUGGAGAGAAAAAGGAGAGGGGGAUUCUUACCACCAACACGGUUGAGAACCAGCUGCAGAGUUUCUGGGUUGGUAUAGGUUCUGGGUGCAUGAGUUAGGCAGAGAAUUGAUGCAGGAAGGGGCUUGGGUAAACCAAAUGACUUGUUUUCAGGCAUUUGGGCUACCUCUAAGCAGAAUUCUACAGGUACUGUCCUAUGAUUUUAUAAAAUUACAAAGUCAUUCAUUUAUAUAUUAGAAGAGUUUUUUUUCUCUCUUGGCAAAAAUGAUGCCUGGCUUUUCAACAAACGUUGCCAGAAUAAGUAGGUACCUACAUACAAAAGAAUGCAGUUGGGGCCCUGCCUCAUAACAUACACAAAAAUUAACUCAACAUGGAUCCUGGGCACAAAUGGAAGAGCUAAAAAUGUAAGAUGAAAUGUAAGAUAUACAAAUGGUCAAUAAGCACAGGAAAAGAUGCUCAACAUCAUUAGUAUUGCAAGAAAUGCAAAUCAAAACCACAAUCUGAUACAUGUCAUACCCACU
Non-coding RNA from Microcebus murinus (gray mouse lemur), 4242 nucleotides. Lineage: Eukaryota; Metazoa; Chordata; Mammalia; Primates; Cheirogaleidae. The record is from RefSeq and is a predicted model, not a curated record.